UUUAAAUGUAGUUGUGGGUUUAUUUGUCCAAUGUUUGACCGUUCAUCUUAUUUGAAUUUUUUUUAUGAUUAGUAUAUUUAUUGUUAUUAGAUGAUAAAAUAUGAAUAGUAUUUUAUACAUGACUUAUUUUUUUAAGAAAAAAUAAAUAAGACGGUCGGUAAAACGUUAUAUAAAAAAAUCCACAACUGCACUUAGA
Oryza sativa Indica Group (long-grained rice) is the source of this 196-nucleotide microRNA precursor. It matches the Rfam family "MIR812 microRNA precursor family". Lineage: Eukaryota; Viridiplantae; Streptophyta; Magnoliopsida; Poales; Poaceae. The record is from Rfam.